GCACUGCUGAAGAGUCCCACAAUAUGGCGAAGCGGCCGUCCAGUGC
Schistosoma mattheei is the source of this 46-nucleotide non-coding RNA. The record is from Rfam. NCBI's taxonomy places the organism in Eukaryota, Metazoa, Platyhelminthes, Trematoda, Strigeidida, Schistosomatidae.